CAGGGAGCCGCAUGUAAGAAGCCGCCAUUUUGAAAGAACUGUUGGUGGACUGCACGUUGUCUACUGUGUAUAACUCAACAUGGCUGAUGAUGAUGACCAAACUGGGGAUCAAGAUUUCAACCAGUACACCCUCUGUAUCACUGAACAUGUGACAGAUGAGUGGAAGGAUCUGGCUUUGAAGCUAGGACUGAGCUGGGAGGACAUCAAAAACAUUGAUGGGAGAAACAAGGACUACAGGUCUUGCUGCCAGGACAUGCUACAAGUGUUCAGAAGUAGAACUCCAGGCCGCUAUGCUAUAUGGCAGAU
This is a long non-coding RNA of Branchiostoma belcheri (Belcher's lancelet), 306 nucleotides long. RefSeq lists it as uncharacterized. Lineage: Eukaryota; Metazoa; Chordata; Leptocardii; Amphioxiformes; Branchiostomatidae. The record is from RefSeq and is a predicted model, not a curated record. The transcript is spliced from 3 exons.